GUGGGGAAUUUUGGACAAUGGGCGCAAGCCUGAUCCAGCAAUGCCGCGUGCAGGAAGAAGGCCUUCGGGUUGUAAACUGCUUUUGUACGGAACGAAAAGGCUCUGGUUAAUACCUGGGGCUCAUGACGGUACCGUAAGAAUAAGCACCGGCUAACUACGUGCCAGCAGCCGCGGUAAUACGUAGGGUGCAAGCGUUAAUCGGAAUUACUGGGCGUACAGCGUGCGCAGGCGGUUUUGUAAGACAGAGGUGAAAUCCCCGGGCUCAACCUGGGAAUUGCCUUUGUGACUGCAAGGCUGGAGUGCGGCAGAGGGGGAUGGAAUUCCGCGUGUAGCAGUGAAAUGCGUAGAUAUGCGGAGGAACACCGAUGGCGAAGGCAAUCCCCUGGGCCUGCACUGACGCUCAUGCACGAAAGCGUGGGGAGCAAACAGGAUUAGAUACCCUGGUAGUCC
This 450-nucleotide ribosomal RNA is filed under the name uncultured bacterium. RNAcentral's name for it is "partial 16S ribosomal RNA". It matches the Rfam family "Bacterial small subunit ribosomal RNA", at positions 354 to 796 of the family's 1533-position model. The record is from RNAcentral.